Molecule: ribosomal RNA, 500 nt
Filed under: uncultured Glomeromycotina
Lineage: Eukaryota; Fungi; Glomeromycota
Description: partial small subunit ribosomal RNA
Rfam family: Eukaryotic small subunit ribosomal RNA
Source: RNAcentral
CCAAUAGCGUAUAUUAAAGUUGUUACAGUUAAAAAGCUCGUAGUUGAAUUUUGGGAUCAAUGGGUUGGUCAUGCCCUCGGUAUGUACUGAUUUCAUUGGUUCUCACCUUCUAAGGAACCAUGAUGUCAUUCGUUUGAUGUUGUGGGGAAUUAGGACUGUUACCUUGAAAAAAUUAGAGUGUUUAAAGCAGGCUAACGUUUGAAUACAUUAGCAUGGAAUAAUGAAAUAGGACAUCCGAUUCUAUUUUGUUGGUUUUUAGGAUCGAUGUAAUGAUUAAUAGGGAUAGUUGGAGGCAUUAGUAUUCAAUUGUCAGAGGUGAAAUUCUUGGAUUUAUUGAAGACUAACUACUGCGAAAGCAUUUGCCAAGGAUGUUUUCAUUAAUCAAGAACGAAAGUUAGAGGAUCGAAGACGAUCAGAUACCGUCGUAGUCUUAACCAUAAACUAUGCCGACUAGGGAUCGGAUGAUGCUUAUUUUUUAAUGACUCAUUCGGCACCUUACG